UACGGGGGGAGCAAGCGUUGUUCGGAUUUACUGGGCGUAAAGGGCGUGUAGGCGGCCAGCACAAGUCAGUUGUGAAAUCUCCGAGCUUAACUCGGAAAGGUCAACUGAUACUGUGCGGCUAGAGUGCAGAAGGGGCAACUGGAAUUCUUGGUGUAGCGGUGAAAUGCGUAGAUAUUCGGAGGAACACCAGUGGCGAAGGCGGCUCACUGGUCCAUUACUGACGCUGAGGUGCGAAAGCGUGGGGAGCAAACAGG
Molecule: ribosomal RNA, 254 nt
Filed under: uncultured bacterium
Lineage: Bacteria
Description: partial 16S ribosomal RNA
Rfam family: Bacterial small subunit ribosomal RNA
Source: RNAcentral